This is a long non-coding RNA of Cheilinus undulatus (humphead wrasse), 1341 nucleotides long. RefSeq lists it as uncharacterized. The record is from RefSeq and is a predicted model, not a curated record. NCBI's taxonomy places the organism in Eukaryota, Metazoa, Chordata, Actinopteri, Labriformes, Labridae. The transcript has 11 exons.
GGUGCAGGCGGACUUUUUCCUCCGCUGUCUGGAUAGAGCUUGUUAAACUCCCGUGAUACCGGUUUGAAGCUGCUGGGCUUGUUGUCACGCUACUAAUUCCAUCAUGAUGGCGCAUACUUCAAAAUGACGCAGAACUCCUCAUGAGAAGAGCGCAGUAAGGAUGACUGUGCCGUGCAACCGAAGCGCCGCGGGUUUGGUCCAACCGAAGGUGAGCAACCUCGCCCACUGGAAGCGGGUCUAGAGCGCUGCGCCGUGGCACGCAGCCCUGAUCAGCAGGAAGAGAUCACGGGAGAACUGCUCAAACAAACAAACAAAGCCAAACAAGACAGCCGCCUCAUGUGCCUGCUGUGGGUUUCUAGAUCUCCCUGUCAGAUCAUCUGCUCAGUCCCAGAAGUCCCCUGGAGCAUCCAUCACUGAGGCCUGUCAGUUAUGAGGUUGUGGCUCUCGGUUGACUACUGCUCCCCCUGUAUGUGGGUCACAGACACCGUUCCCAGCUGUGCAGCCCAGUCAGCUGUGCCUUUUGCCAUGCCCGCCAACAUCUGCUCCACAAAAACAAUAUCCAGCUUUUAGCACUCAAAUGGAGGUUGCACCAUAUGCCAGCAAGCCACUUAGUUUCUGCCAGGGGAGCUGGGGCCUGGCCGCACUCAGCGAGCUCCUCACUCAGGCCAUCAGUGUGUGCCCAUGUGCAUCUGCUCAAGGUGCUUUGGCAGCGUCACCUUUUGAAUAUUAAUGCACCACCUAAACAACAAGAGAACUGGACGACUGAUUGCUGGGGAAAAAUGGCCAUUUAAGACCAAUUAAGAGUGCAGGUCUGGAUACUAUGGGAUACUGAAGUGCUGCUCACUAUGCUGAGAGUUCCUGCUUUUCCUUGAAGUCCAGACGAAUCCUUCAAGACUCCAACCAUGACUUCAUUUUAACGAGCAGAAGUGGCAGUUAACACAAGGCUUCAUCUUUGCAGACAUUGGGAGCUGUCAUUGCGCGACACCCUGUGACGUGGGUGACACUCAGCCGAUAUGACAGGUGCUGGACAGCAGAGACACUCCUAGACAAGCUGGCUAUAUUUCUUCAGGAUUGCCCAGUUUGGGGGUUAAGACCAACAUAGAAAAAGUGGGAAAAAUGAGAACCUCUGAUGCCACCAGAUCAGUUUCCUCUGCCAGUACUCAUCUCCAUCACUGCCACAUCAGCUGGUCCCAAGGUUGUGAGGUCAUCCGAACAUCUGGCCCCUCCGCCAUGUUUUCUAAGUCAUUUUUACAGGGCUCCUCACUCACAAGAAUUACAAGUCUGUGUGAAUAUUUGAUGGCAGGAGAAACUGUUCCUGUCUUUUCUGAGAGAAUGACACAG